AGGUGAGGGGGGAAAGGGAUGACUGCUGUAUCCACAGGCUGGCUUCACAAUCCAAGGGAAACAACAGAGCACUGGGAAUUGCAGAGCGCAAAAAAGGAAGAUCUACAGUUGCUGUUCAGCAGGGGUGCAAGACACCCUGAAGUUGUGGGCAAGAAGCAUUCAAUCGGCCAAAAGAGAAUGAAGCCUUCCGGCUGAACAGAUGAACUGCUCUCAAAACGAACAGUGCAAGUAACCCACCACGUGCCUUCUCCCACGCUGAACUGAAGCUCUACGCCAACCUGUACGA
Vidua chalybeata is the source of this 286-nucleotide long non-coding RNA. RefSeq lists it as uncharacterized. The record is from RefSeq and is a predicted model, not a curated record. The transcript has 3 exons. NCBI's taxonomy places the organism in Eukaryota, Metazoa, Chordata, Aves, Passeriformes, Viduidae.